UGGGGAAUAUUGCACAAUGGGCGAAAGCCUGAUGCAGCAAUGCCGCGUGUGUGAAGAAGGCCUUCGGGUUGUAAAGCACUUUUGUCCGGAAAGAAAUCCUUGGCUCUAAUACAGUCGGGGGAUGACGGUACCGGAAGAAUAAGCACCGGCUAACUACGUGCCAGCAGCCGCGGUAAUACGUAGGGUGCAAGCGUUAAUCGGAAUUACUGGGCGUAAAGCGUGCGCAGGCGGUUUGCUAAGACCGAUGUGAAAUCCCCGGGCUCAACCUGGGAACUGCAUUGGUGACUGGCAGGCUAGAGUAUGGCAGAGGGGGGUAGAAUUCCACGUGUAGCAGUGAAAUGCGUAGAGAUGUGGAGGAAUACCGAUGGCGAAGGCAGCCCCCUGGGCCAAUACUGACGCUCAUGCACGAAAGCGUGGGGAGCAAACAGGAUUAGAUACCCUGGUAGUCCACGCCCUAAACGAUGUCAACUAGUUGUUGGGGAUUCAUUUCCUUAGUAACGUAGCUAACGCGUGAAGUUGACCGCCUGGGGAGUACGGUCGCAAGAUUAAAAG
This 552-nucleotide ribosomal RNA is filed under the name uncultured bacterium. RNAcentral describes it as "partial 16S ribosomal RNA". It matches the Rfam family "Bacterial small subunit ribosomal RNA", at positions 355 to 900 of the family's 1533-position model. The record is from RNAcentral.